Molecule: ribosomal RNA, 492 nt
Filed under: uncultured bacterium
Lineage: Bacteria
Description: partial 16S ribosomal RNA
Rfam family: Bacterial small subunit ribosomal RNA
Source: RNAcentral
AGUGAACGCUGGCGGUAGGCCUAACACAUGCAAGUCGAACGGCAGCACAGUAAGAGCUUGCUCUUACGGGUGGCGAGUGGCGGACGGGUGAGGAAUACAUCGGAAUCUACUUUUUCGUGGGGGAUAACGUAGGGAAACUUACUCUAAUACCGCAUACGACCUACGGUUGAAAGCAGGGGAUCUUCGGACCUUGCGCGAUUGAAUGAGCCGAUGUCGGAUUAGCUAGUUGGCGGGGUAAAGGCCCACCAAGGCGACGAUCCGUAGCUGGUCUGAGAGGAUGAUCAGCCACACUGGAACUGAGACACGGUCCAGACUCCUACGGGAGGCAGAAGUGGGGAAUAUUGGACAAUGGGCGCAAGCCUGAUCAAGCCAUACCGCGUGGGUGAAGAAGGCCUUCGGGUUGUAAAGCCCUUUUGUUGGGAAAGAAAAGCAGCAGGUUAAUACCCCGCUGUUCUGACGGUACCCAAAGAAUAAGCACCGGCUAACUUCGUG